RNAcentral lists this long non-coding RNA (173 nucleotides) under Sus scrofa (pig). RNAcentral's name for it is "lncRNA (ENSSSCG00070003034.1)". The record is from RNAcentral. Lineage: Eukaryota; Metazoa; Chordata; Mammalia; Artiodactyla; Suidae.
AUGGGAGAUCCCUGCGUCUUUCUUUACUUUUGUGGCAGCCAGUGGUGCUUGAGACAGCGGCUUGUAGAGCAGAGCUCCCACCAGCUCCCGUUGGACGUGCGACGCAGAAGUUGGAUUGGAUUUUUGUCUGUUAAGUGCAGGGGUGCCAGUUCUCAUCAGAGCAGACAGGUGAA